RNAcentral lists this ribosomal RNA (484 nucleotides) under uncultured bacterium. RNAcentral describes it as "partial 16S ribosomal RNA". It matches the Rfam family "Bacterial small subunit ribosomal RNA", at positions 29 to 507 of the family's 1533-position model. The record is from RNAcentral.
AUUGAACGCUGGCGGCAUGCUUUACACAUGCAAGUCGAACGGCAGCGCGGGCUUCGGCCUGGCGGCGAGUGGCGAACGGGUGAGUAAUGCAUCGGAACGUGCCCAGUAGUUGGGGAUAGCCCGGCGAAAGCCGGAUUAAUACCGCAUACGACCUGAGGGUGAAAGCGGGGGACCGAAAGGCCUCGCGCGAUUUGAUCGGCCGAUGUCGGAUUAGCUAGUUGGUUGGGUAAAGGCUUACCAAGGCGACGAUCCGUAGCUGGUCUGAGAGGACGACCAGCCACACUGGGACUGAGACACGGCCCAGACUCCUACGGGAGGCAGCAGUGGGGAAUUUUGGACAAUGGGGGCAACCCUGAUCCAGCCAUGCCGCGUGAGGGAAGAAGGCCUUCGGGUUGUAAACCGCUUUUGUUCGGGAAGAAAACCUCUGGGCUAAUACCCCGGGGGGAUGACGGUACCGGAAGAAUAAGCACCGGCUAACUACGUG